UCACUCCUACGGGGGGCAGCAGUGGGGAAUAUUGGGCAAUGGGUGCAAGCCUGACCCAGCAACGCCGCGUGAAGGAAGAAGGCUUUCGGGUUGUAAACUUCUUUUCUCAGGGACGAAGAAAGUGACGGUACCUGAGGAAUAAGCCACGACUAACUACGUGCCAGCAGCCGCGGUAAUACGUAGGUGGCAAGAGUUAUCCGGAUUUACUGGGUGUAAAGGGCGUGUAGGCGGGACUGGAAGUCAGAUGUGAAAA
RNAcentral lists this ribosomal RNA (253 nucleotides) under uncultured bacterium. RNAcentral's name for it is "partial 16S ribosomal RNA". It matches the Rfam family "Bacterial small subunit ribosomal RNA", at positions 333 to 600 of the family's 1533-position model. The record is from RNAcentral.